Molecule: ribosomal RNA, 893 nt
Filed under: uncultured bacterium
Lineage: Bacteria
Description: bacterial SSU rRNA
Rfam family: Bacterial small subunit ribosomal RNA
Source: RNAcentral
AGAGUUUGAUCCUGGCUCAGGACGAACGCUGGCGGCGUGCUUAACACAUGCAAGUCGAACGAUGAAGCCCUUCGGGGUGGAUUAGUGGCGAACGGGUGAGUAACACGUGGGCAAUCUGCCCUUCACUCUGGGACAAGCCCUGGAAACGGGGUCUAAUACCGGAUAACACUCCUGCCCGCAUGGGUGGGGGUUAAAAGCUCCGGCGGUGAAGGAUGAGCCCGCGGCCUAUCAGCUUGUUGGUGAGGUAGUGGCUCACCAAGGCGACGACGGGUAGCCGGCCUGAGAGGGCGACCGGCCACACUGGGACUGAGACACGGCCCAGACUCCUACGGGAGGCAGCAGUGGGGAAUAUUGCACAAUGGGCGAAAGCCUGAUGCAGCGACGCCGCGUGAGGGAUGACGGCCUUCGGGUUGUAAACCUCUUUCAGCAGGGAAGAGGCGAAAGUGACGGUACCUGCAGAAGAAGCGCCGGCUAACUACGUGCCAGCAGCCGCGGUAAUACGUAGGGCGCAAGCGUUGUCCGGAAUUAUUGGGCGUAAAGAGCUCGUAGGCGGCUUGUCACGUCGGGUGUGAAAGCCCGGGGCUUAACCCCGGGUCUGCAUUCGAUACGGGCUAGCUAGAGUGUGGUAGGGGAGAUCGGAAUUCCUGGUGUAGCGGUGAAAUGCGCAGAUAUCAGGAGGAACACCGGUGGCGAAGGCGGAUCUCUGGGCCAUUACUGACGCUGAGGAGCGAAAGCGUGGGGAGCGAACAGGAUUAGAUACCCUGGUAGUCCACGCCGUAAACGGUGGGAACUAGGUGUUGGCGACAUUCCACGUCGUCGGUGCCGCAGCUAACGCAUUAAGUUCCCCGCCUGGGGAGUACGGCCGCAAGGCUAAAACUCAAAGGAAUUGACGG